RNAcentral lists this long non-coding RNA (243 nucleotides) under Pan troglodytes (chimpanzee). RNAcentral describes it as "long non-coding RNA NONPTRT004796". The record is from RNAcentral. Lineage: Eukaryota; Metazoa; Chordata; Mammalia; Primates; Hominidae.
AAAGUUAUGCAUGGUCAUAGUAAAAACAAACAAAUAAAACAGGCAGAGGAGUACAGCAUGAAAAGUAAAAGUCCCUUUUCUAGUAGAGAAUUGGGUGAGGGAUAAGGAGAGGGGAAAUAUUCCUUUGUUCUAUAUAAAGGUUGAUCAUAAAUGUCCCAAAACACUAUGAAAGAAAAUGACAAUGUCUAACUUCCUGUUUUUCAGUACUUGUGGAAUAAAGCAUAAGUAGUCAAUUCAGAAAUG